UCAGACGAUGCGUCAUGCAUAUCAAUAAGCGGAGGAAAAGAAACUAACAAGGAUUCCCUUAGUAACGGCGAGUGAAGCGGGAAGAGCUCAAAUUUGAAAUCUUCAAGGUUUUACCUUGACGAAUUGUAGUUUAAAGAAGUGUUUUCUGCUGAAGUUUUGGUAAAAGUUCUUUGGAAUAGGACAUCAUAGAGGGUGAGAAUCCCGUAUUUGACCAUUAUUUUCAGCUUUGUGAUACACUUUCAAAGAGUCGGAUUGUUUGGGAAUGCAGUCCAAAAUGGGUGGUAAAUUUCAUCUAAAGCUAAAUAUUGGCGAGAGACCGAUAGCGAACAAGUACCGUGAGGGAAAGAUGAAAAGAACUUUGAAAAGAGAGUUAAAUAGUACGUGAAAUUGUCAAAAGGGAAGCGUUUGACACCAGUGUUGUUUUCUCGAAAAUCAAUUAAAAAUGGCUCGAUUUUGUAUUGCUUGAGACCUUAAAAGCUCACUGUACAUUUUUCGUGUCUUUUUUAAUGCACUUUUCGUUUAACAAGUCAACAUCAGUUUCUUUUGUUGUAAAAGGGUCAUUGGAAGGUGGCUUUCUUUUCGGAGAAAGUGUUUAUAGCCUUUGGCCUCUGCAAUCGGAGAGACUGAGGUCUGCAGCGUAGACUCUUCGGGGUUAGAUACAUUUGUGCUAAGUUAUAGCUUUUUAUAGACAACUUGUUGACUAUAAUUAGUCUUGUAGCUUACUCGCUUAUGCUAUUUUACCUACGCUUAGGAUGUUGAACUACUGAGACAUAGA
Molecule: ribosomal RNA, 775 nt
Filed under: uncultured Neocallimastigales
Lineage: Eukaryota; Fungi; Neocallimastigomycota; Neocallimastigomycetes; Neocallimastigales
Description: partial large subunit ribosomal RNA
Rfam family: Eukaryotic large subunit ribosomal RNA
Source: RNAcentral